RNAcentral lists this ribosomal RNA (500 nucleotides) under uncultured Glomeromycotina. RNAcentral describes it as "partial small subunit ribosomal RNA". It matches the Rfam family "Eukaryotic small subunit ribosomal RNA", at positions 591 to 1092 of the family's 1831-position model. The record is from RNAcentral. Lineage: Eukaryota; Fungi; Glomeromycota.
CCAAUAGCGUAUAUUAAAGUUGUUGCAGUUAAAAAGCUCGUAGUUGAAUUUUGGGUCUGGCCGGGCGGUCCGCCCUCUGGGUGAGCACUGUUCCGACGUCGGGCCUAUCCUUCUGGUGAGUCGGCAUGUCCUUUAUUGGGUGUGUCGGGGAACCAGGACCAUUACCUUGAAAAAAUUAGAGUGUUCAAAGCAGGCGUAUGCUCGAAUACAUUAGCAUGGAAUAAUGAAAUAGGACGCGUGGUGCUAUUUUGUUGGUUUCUAGAACCGCCGUAAUGAUUAAUAGGGAUAGUUGGGGGCAUUAGUAUUCAAUUGUCAGAGGUGAAAUUCUUGGAUUUAUUGAAGACUAACUUCUGCGAAAGCAUUUGCCAAGGAUGUUUUCAUUAAUCAAGAACGAAAGUUAGGGGAUCGAAGACGAUCAGAUACCGUCGUAGUCUUAACCAUAAACUAUGCCGACUAGGAAUCGGGCGAUGUUAUUCUCAUGACUCGCCCGGCGCCUUAUG